AAAGUUUGUAGAGAAACAUGA
Molecule: small nuclear RNA, 21 nt
Filed under: Arabidopsis thaliana (thale cress)
Lineage: Eukaryota; Viridiplantae; Streptophyta; Magnoliopsida; Brassicales; Brassicaceae
Description: snRNA_03551
Source: RNAcentral